This 17-nucleotide microRNA is filed under the name Corchorus capsularis. RNAcentral describes it as "sRNA CCACVL1_13318". The record is from RNAcentral. Lineage: Eukaryota; Viridiplantae; Streptophyta; Magnoliopsida; Malvales; Malvaceae.
AGACACAUGACACAUCU